CUGCAGUGGGACCCAUUUUCAUCCUUGUGACUGUCUCUGAGUCUUUUUCAGAUUGUUUUUUAACCUUUCGUCAGUAAACCUGGUUAAAAUUAUUUCAAACUUGCAUCUGAGUCAGUGUCGAGUCAAUUUGAAUCUGUUUAGGUCAUUUUUAGCCCUAGGGGCAUUUUGGUCAUUUCACACAAAAUUUUGGCAUAGAGAGGUUACUUUGAAGUACCUCAUUUAAGCCAUUGGUUCGUUU
Molecule: long non-coding RNA, 238 nt
Filed under: Medicago truncatula (barrel medic)
Lineage: Eukaryota; Viridiplantae; Streptophyta; Magnoliopsida; Fabales; Fabaceae
Description: long non-coding RNA (MTRU_LNC005966)
Source: RNAcentral